RNAcentral lists this long non-coding RNA (2773 nucleotides) under Nicotiana tabacum (common tobacco). Its description in RNAcentral is "long non-coding RNA (NTAB_LNC002622)". Lineage: Eukaryota; Viridiplantae; Streptophyta; Magnoliopsida; Solanales; Solanaceae. The record is from RNAcentral.
AAAAUUCAAACCCUAGAGACCCAUCUCUUCAUCUCUCCUCUUUCUCAAGCCGCCGCCCGCCGCCCCUAUUCUGCCUGCCGGAAAUCGCCACCGCCGGUGGACGAACUCCAAACACCACCAAAAUUUCACCCCCUACUCAUCUCAACCUCCUCUUUUCGAAUCCAACACUCAAAUUUCCUAAAUCUCUAUCCAUCCACACGAAUCCCAUUUUGGCCGAAACCCUAGCCCCUAUUUCUUUUGAAAUUGGUCAGCUUCUAGCCAUCCUCAUUCCAUAAUACACACACAUUUGGAUAGAUCUCUAGGAGAGCUAUUGAUUUUAUGUCAGUUUUGGUUCCAAACUCCGACCACUAUUUUCCGGCAAGCUUACUGGUGACCACCUGUCCGCGAAGGGUCUGUUUUAAGCCAUUUUUCCGACUCAGGCGAUUGUUUCUUUUUAGCACGACGCUAAAAUCCAAUGGGUCCAGCGUGUACUAAAAAGAAAUGCCCGUUUCGAGGUUGGACAGCCACUAUUCGUCGCCCCCGGCAUCCGUCUCGUUGCUCGAUUUGACAUCGAAUCCCUCUGUAUGGUAAAACAUCAAUUUCCUUUCCUUAUUUUUAUCUUUUCUGAUUUUUUGCUUUUGUUUUAGUAUUAGUUCUAAGGUUUAAUCUCCAUUAAUGUUUCUGUUAUUUAUGUGCAAUGAGUAUAAAUUUUUAAUUAUACUUUCACUUUAUAAAUGUGAAUUUUUGGUUCUUCGACCUAGCCGGUCGACUAUUUUGUGUGAAUUUGAUUAAGCUUGAACUUUCAGUUCUUCGACCUAGCCAGUCGACUAUUUUUGUUUGUCCGUUAGUUCUGAUCUUUGGUUCUUCGACUUAAUCGGUCGACUAUUUUGUAUAGAAUUGUUAAGUCUGAAUUUUCAGUUUUUUGACCUAGUCGGUCGAAUAGUUAAGUCUUUAUGUUAAUUUCAUGAAAAAACCAAAAGAUUAGUUCAAUUGUUUAUAUAGUUAGUUGUAUAUUUAGUUGUUAUUAAUUGUGAUAGUUUAGCGAUGUUCGUUUAAUUUCUGUUUCAAGCAAUAGUUUGUGAAAUUCAGUUGUUGUUCCAUGUUGGUUUACACAAAUCGAAUUCAUUCUAAUCUAGUUUGUCUGAAUACUUAGUUCGAUUGCAUUUUGAGUCUUGUUUCUACUUUGCUAGUUCAUAUUUGGUUGGAGUUUGAGUGUAUAAGCUGAAUUUCAGUCAUGAAUAGAUAAAAGCUGAAAACUUGAGUUUAAAGUACGUGUUUGUUGGGUAUUUUACUGUUUAAACAUGCUGAAAAUGCAAAUGCUCUGUUUUGUGUCAGAAUUUGGUGAAAAAAUGACUGUUUUGGCACAUAAAAGUCAGUCCUUUUGGACAGAUUUUUGGUGAAUCAAAAUCUGUCCAAAAGGACUUAUUUUUCCUACUUAAAGAGGCCAUUCUUUCACACUUGAGGAGUCGAACAUACUUAGCCAUCACCCUUUACACUCGAAGAAAACACAAAACUUUGAAGAAAGUCAGCAGCUGAACAUCAAAAAGUAAGCUGAAAAAAAACUGAAAGUUUGUGAGUUCUUUCUUCAUUUCCUAAGUCGGUGAGCGUUUGGUUUGAGUUUCUGGUUCGUAUCGGCUUUAAAAUAUCGCUGUUGUUUGGGCUGUUCUGUUGUUGUUCCUUCUUUGCUGUUGAAAGUUUGCUGUGUUCGUUGGUCGGCUUUUUCGAAGUUACAUCUUUGCUGUAGUUUGAUUUUCUGCCAUUCAGGUAACUUUUAAACCUAUUGUAGUGCAAAUUCUCAAUGUCGAAUGUGGAAGGUGCCAACCUGCCUCCAUUAUUUGAGCAUGCUUUUUGUGACUUAAUGAAGAAAUGAGUGUUUGAAUAAUGCAUGUAUGUUUCCGGUGUACAAAAUCUGGAAUAACUUAUUUAAUACUUUAACUUCUCUUUACAUUUUGGGUGAAAUAAUAUUUUGUUAGUCUGCUAGUUGUUUUAAAACAUAUCAUAUCACAAGGUUUCGGACUGUUAUAGAGUUGGUCUCUUAAGAUUAUCUUUUUUUUUCGCUAUCCACGUUUAUGUGCAAGUAGAGAAUCGCAUAUAGUGAUAAAAGAAUCGAUUUUCUGAUGUCACUAAACCGUGGAUGCAUCUUUUGUUCUCUCUUCUAGUUAAAAACUUUUGCCAUGUUAGUUAUUAUUUGUUGUUUUUUUUCUUCCAUUGCUAUAUUGGACUACAAUGUGGAGGCCAUGAAUUUUCUUCAGUUUGCUAUAGGCUUUGGUAGUAAUUAAUAAGUUUAAUCCUUUUUUUUAUCUCCUCCAUGCCAAAACAGAGAAGUUUUUCCCUUUAAUCCUUGCUAAUUUGUCAAAAGAAUAAAAUAUCAUUAGAACAGUGGCUCUUUGUUUCUUCAUGAUCAAUGUCUAUUACUUAAUAAUUAAUAAUACUUAAGAAGAUUAGGCCAAGUGUCAGUAUGCUAGAUAAAUUUUGCUUGCAUGUAUGGUUAUCCUGAUGUUGAAGACAAUGUAAAAUAAAUGCUUACACUAUACAAGUUAACACUUUGUAUCAUUGCAACUUUAAUUUAGCUUCGGAAGUUUAGCCCCAAAUGCUUGUCUGUGAUUUAUAUCUUACACAAAGUUUUGGGAUAAUUAAGUUAGUGCUAGAAUGCUUGGUUUUAGGUGACAUGAUUUUCUAAUAGAUUAAUGAUUUUGUCAAAUAAACUUGUAUUCAAAUUAAAAGUUUUUGGAGUAUGUUAUUAAGAAGUAAAGGGUGGUCGGUAACUGAAGGAUUGGGGUAUAAUAUAUUUUCA